This 450-nucleotide ribosomal RNA is filed under the name Triticum aestivum (bread wheat). RNAcentral's name for it is "partial small subunit ribosomal RNA". Lineage: Eukaryota; Viridiplantae; Streptophyta; Magnoliopsida; Poales; Poaceae. The record is from RNAcentral.
AUGAUAAUAAUAAUAAAAAAAGAAACCGGCUACGUACAUACGCACCAGCUCUCCAUGGCAUGCAUGCACACGUCAAGCAGCAAGCAACACAUGAAGCCGGUGGGCACGUUCCUGCCGCAGUGGUUGAGGAUGAUGCUGAGGUCGAUGGGGAGGUUGAGGUUGAUGCCGAGGACGUUGGCCUUGAGCACCGUGCAGAGGCACACGGCCGCCUCGAGGUCGACGAGCCCCUUCAGCAGCGGGCAGCAGGGAAGAGUGGGCGGCAGCCCCACCUUGGCCUUGAUCAGGCCAAGCACGUUGGCGCAGACGCCCAGCUUCGGUGCGUCGCGCGGGCACCUACCGAGCGACGCCGGGGUCGGUGUCGGGGUCGACGGGGUUGAUGGCGUCAUGGGCGUCGGGCAGUCCCCCCCACACGCGCUGGCCAGGGAGAACACGGCCAGUGAUGGGCAAUAA